RNAcentral lists this ribosomal RNA (258 nucleotides) under uncultured bacterium. RNAcentral's name for it is "partial 16S ribosomal RNA". It matches the Rfam family "Bacterial small subunit ribosomal RNA", at positions 793 to 1055 of the family's 1533-position model. The record is from RNAcentral.
GUCCACGCCCUAAACGAUGUCUACUGGUUGUUGGGAUUUCGAUCCUUAGUAACGAAGCUAACGCGAGAAGUAGACCGCCUGGGGAGUACGGCCGCAAGGUUAAACUCAAAGGAAUUGACGGGGCCCGCACAAGCGGUGGAUGAUGUGGAUUAAUUCGAUGCAACGCGAAAACCUUACCUGGUCUUGACAUGUCUAGAAUCCCUUAGAGAUAGGGGAGUGCCGCAAGGAACUAGAACACAGGUGCUGCAUGGCUGUCGU